Molecule: long non-coding RNA, 250 nt
Filed under: Volvox carteri
Lineage: Eukaryota; Viridiplantae; Chlorophyta; Chlorophyceae; Chlamydomonadales; Volvocaceae
Description: long non-coding RNA (VCAR_LNC001425)
Source: RNAcentral
CAUGCCAUGGCAUGAUGUGGAGUGAUGGCGGAAAUCAGUGUUUUGACACUGAAAUGCUGUGUCGAUCGGAAAGCAGCUCCAAUACGGACUGAUAUAAGAUUGAGCCAUUACUCAGUACCAUAUGUGAAGGAACAUGCGCCUGUGGGAGGGAUCAAUGGUUCUGCAAAGCCCGACAUCAGAUGUCCGAGAGGCAACGGACACCACACGUAUGAACACAAAUCCAUUAUACUCAUGGAAUUGCAUAGAUUUU